Pelobates cultripes (western spadefoot toad) is the source of this 249-nucleotide non-coding RNA. The record is from the annotation of a GenBank genome assembly. NCBI's taxonomy places the organism in Eukaryota, Metazoa, Chordata, Amphibia, Anura, Pelobatidae.
GUCACACCUACUGUGAGUAAUAGCAUUUUUAUUUUUAUAGUAGCAUUUCGGAUUGUUUGAAAUAUUUUUAUAAAGGCAGAGAAAAUUAGCAAAUUGUUUUAUUCAUGUAUCUCUCCAUAAUCCUGGGUCAUUGAACUAAAGGAAGCUGAUCUCAGUCUACCCUAGCCACGGUUCCCGUCCAUUGCACCUUAAAAGGUGGACAGUGGAACUGAUCACCACUUGUAACACAAAAUAGAAAAGACAAAAAAA